AUUAUUUUCAGCUUUAUCUGGCCUGUUUGAAGAUUGAUUUUCUGAUAUGAGGUCAAGCUGGCCAGGCUGAUUAUUUUCAGCUCUAUCUGGCCUGUCUAAGGCUUGAACUAUUGAUGUAAUUUUAGACUGUCCAGACUGGUUAUUUCCAGUAAUAUCUGGUUUGUCUUGAAUUAUUUUAUGAUCUUUGUUUGUUUGCCCUGGGGUUAUUUUAAAACAGUCUGCCCUGGGGUGGUGUUCUUCUAUUAUUUCAUUAAAAACUUUUUGCAGUGGAAAUGUGUUUUCUUUUUCAUUGUUUGG
RNAcentral lists this long non-coding RNA (297 nucleotides) under Zostera marina. RNAcentral describes it as "long non-coding RNA (ZMAR_LNC006005)". The record is from RNAcentral. Lineage: Eukaryota; Viridiplantae; Streptophyta; Magnoliopsida; Alismatales; Zosteraceae.